RNAcentral lists this long non-coding RNA (538 nucleotides) under Pan troglodytes (chimpanzee). RNAcentral's name for it is "long non-coding RNA NONPTRT008407". The record is from RNAcentral. Lineage: Eukaryota; Metazoa; Chordata; Mammalia; Primates; Hominidae.
GAAAGGGGUUGGGGACAACCUUGGGCAGGGGUGGGGAAGGUGCUGCUCUUGCCCACUGUCCUUGGCUGCCCUACUAGGAGAAGGGAUACUGCUGAGUGGCAGUGGCAAGUGGAGCCGCCACCGUCGGAUGCUGACGCCCGCCUUCCAUUUCAACAUCCUGAAACCCUAUAUAAAGAUCUUCAACAGGAGUGUGAACAUCAUGCACGUUGUUCCCUGCAAACACAACUCUGAAAAAUGGCUGAAGUAAGAACAUCAUGGCCUUGCAUUCUUGGCAUGCCCAGCAAGGAUGCUCAGGGCUGAUGAAGAAGUGCCUCUCCCAACACAGGGAUAUUUUUGAAAUGACUUUGUAACAAUGGAGAAGAGUGAAGAGAACAUUUACUGAGCACUCACCAUAGGCCUAAAACAAUGUCAUGUCCCAGUUCCAUGACAUAUGUGUCUAAUUUAAUUUUAAUAACCCUGUGAGUUAUGGUUAUUUUUGCCCGAUUGCAGAUGAUGAAACUGAGGGCCAGAGAGGUUAGCGAGCUGGAAACAGUUCAAC